CCUACGGGCGGCAGCAGUGGGGAAUAUUGGGCAAUGGGCGCAAGCCUGACCCAGCAACGCCGCGUGAAGGAUGAAGGCCCUCGGGUUGUAAACUUCUUUUGUCAGGGACGAAGAAAGUGACGGUACCUGACGAAUAAGCCACGGCUAACUACGUGCCAGCAGCCGCGGUAAUACGUAGGUGGCAAGCGUUAUCCGGAUUUACUGGGUGUAAAGGGCGUGUAGGCGGGAUUGCAAGUCAGAUGUGAAAUUCCAGGGCUCAACCCUGGACCUGCAUUUGAAACUGUAGUUCUUGAGUGAUGGAGAGGCAGGCGGAAUGCCGUGUGUAGCGGUGAAAUGCGUAGAUAUACGGAGGAACACCAGUGGCGAAGGCAGCGUACCGGCGCCAGACUGACGCUGAGGCACGAAAGCGUGGGGAUCGAACAGGAUUAGAUACCCGGGUAGUC
This 443-nucleotide ribosomal RNA is filed under the name uncultured bacterium. RNAcentral's name for it is "partial 16S ribosomal RNA". It matches the Rfam family "Bacterial small subunit ribosomal RNA", at positions 338 to 795 of the family's 1533-position model. The record is from RNAcentral.